AGUGAACGCUGGCGGUAGGCCUAACACAUGCAAGUCGAACGGCAGCACAGUAAGAGCUUGCUCUUACGGGUGGCGAGUGGCGGACGGGUGAGGAAUACAUCGGAAUCUACUUUUUCGUGGGGGAUAACGUAGGGAAACUUACGCUAAUACCGCAUACGACCUACGGGUGAAAGCAGGGGAUCUUCGGACCUUGCGCGAUUGAAUGAGCCGAUGUCGGAUUAGCUAGUUGGCGGGGUAAAGGCCCACCAAGGCGACGAUCCGUAGCUGGUCUGAGAGGAUGAUCCGCCACACUGUAACUGAGACACGGUCCAGACUCCUACGGGAGGCAGCAGUGGGGAAUAUUGGACGAUGGGCGCAAGCCUGAUCCAGCCAUACCGCGUGGGUGAAGAAGGCCUUCGGGUUGUAAAGCCCUUUUGUUGGGAAAGAAAAGCAGCAGGUUAAUACCCCGCUGUUCUGACGGUACCCAAAGAAUAAGCACCGGCUAACUUCGUG
RNAcentral lists this ribosomal RNA (492 nucleotides) under uncultured bacterium. Its description in RNAcentral is "partial 16S ribosomal RNA". It matches the Rfam family "Bacterial small subunit ribosomal RNA", at positions 29 to 507 of the family's 1533-position model. The record is from RNAcentral.